GGAAUAUUGCGCAAUGGGGGAAACCCUGACGCAGCGACGCCGCGUGGAUGAUGAAGGCCUUCGGGUCGUAAAAUCCUGUCAGAUGGGAAGAAGUGUAUAUUACCUAAUACGUGAUAUAUUUGACGGUACCAUCAAAGGAAGCACCGGCUAACUCCGUGCCAGCAGCCGCGGUAAUACGGAGGGUGCAAGCGUUGUUCGGAAUUACUGGGCGUAAAGCGCGCGUAGGCGGCUUGUUAAGUCAGAUGUGAAAGUCCACGGCUCAACCGUGGAAGUGCAUAUGAAACUGGCAGGCUUGAGUAUUGGAGGGGGUAGUGGAAUUCCCGGUGUAGAGGUGAAAUUCGUAGAUAUCGGGAGGAAUACCGGUGGCGAAGGCGACUACCUGGCCAAAUACUGACGCUGAGGUGCGAAAGCGUGGGGAGCAAACAGGAUUAGAAACCCUGGUAGUCC
RNAcentral lists this ribosomal RNA (447 nucleotides) under uncultured bacterium. RNAcentral describes it as "bacterial SSU rRNA". It matches the Rfam family "Bacterial small subunit ribosomal RNA", at positions 358 to 796 of the family's 1533-position model. The record is from RNAcentral.